Molecule: ribosomal RNA, 1372 nt
Filed under: uncultured bacterium
Lineage: Bacteria
Description: bacterial SSU rRNA
Rfam family: Bacterial small subunit ribosomal RNA
Source: RNAcentral
GAUGAACGCUGGCGGCGUGCCUAAUACAUGCAAGUCGAGCGAACGGACGAGAAGCUUGCUUCUCUGAUGUUAGCGGCGGACGGGUGAGUAACACGUGGAUAACCUACCUAUAAGACUGGGAUAACUUCGGGAAACCGGAGCUAAUACCGGAUAAUAUUUUGAACCGCAUGGUUCAAAAGUGAAAGACGGUCUUGCUGUCACUUAUAGAUGGAUCCGCGCUGCAUUAGCUAGUUGGUAAGGUAACGGCUUACCAAGGCAACGAUGCAUAGCCGACCUGAGAGGGUGAUCGGCCGCACUGGAACUGAGACACGGUCCAGACUCCUACGGGAGGCAGCAGUAGGGAAUCUUCCGCAAUGGGCGAAAGCCUGACGGAGCAACGCCGCGUGAGUGAUGAAGGUCUUCGGAUCGUAAAACUCUGUUAUUAGGGAAGAACAUAUGUGUAAGUAACUGUGCACAUCUUGACGGUACCUAAUCAGAAAGCCACGGCUAACUACGUGCCAGCAGCCGCGGUAAUACGUAGGUGGCAAGCGUUAUCCGGAAUUAUUGGGCGUAAAGCGCGCGUAGGCGGUUUUUUAAGUCUGAUGUGAAAGCCCACGGCUCAACCGUGGAGGGUCAUUGGAAACUGGAAAACUUGAGUGCAGAAGAGGAAAGUGGAAUUCCAUGUGUAGCGGUGAAAUGCGCAGAGAUAUGGAGGAACACCAGUGGCGAAGGCGACUUUCUGGUCUGUAACUGACGCUGAUGUGCGAAAGCGUGGGGAUCAAACAGGAUUAGAUACCCUGGUAGUCCACGCCGUAAACGAUGAGUGCUAAGUGUUAGGGGGUUUCCGCCCCUUAGUGCUGCAGCUAACGCAUUAAGCACUCCGCCUGGGGAGUACGACCGCAAGGUUGAAACUCAAAGGAAUUGACGGGGACCCGCACAAGCGGUGGAGCAUGUGGUUUAAUUCGAAGCAACGCGAAGAACCUUACCAAAUCUUGACAUCCUUUGACAACUCUAGAGAUAGAGCUUUCCCCUUCGGGGGACAAAGUGACAGGUGGUGCAUGGUUGUCGUCAGCUCGUGUCGUGAGAUGUUGGGUUAAGUCCCGCAACGAGCGCAACCCUUAAGCUUAGUUGCCAUCAUUAAGUUGGGCACUCUAAGUUGACUGCCGGUGACAAACCGGAGGAAGGUGGGGAUGACGUCAAAUCAUCAUGCCCCUUAUGAUUUGGGCUACACACGUGCUACAAUGGACAAUACAAAGGGCAGCGAAACCGCGAGGUCAAGCAAAUCCCAUAAAGUUGUUCUCAGUUCGGAUUGUAGUCUGCAACUCGACUACAUGAAGCUGGAAUCGCUAGUAAUCGUAGAUCAGCAUGCUACGGUGAAUACGUUCCCGGGUCU